GGUUGGUCUAAUGCAGUGGUUUUUACAUCUAAUUGAUCACAACCAGUUACAGAUUCCUUUGUUCCUUCUCCACUCCCACUGCUUCACUUGACUAGCCAGAA
Molecule: Y RNA, 101 nt
Filed under: Propithecus coquereli (Coquerel's sifaka)
Lineage: Eukaryota; Metazoa; Chordata; Mammalia; Primates; Indriidae
Description: Y RNA (ENSPCOG00000005229.1)
Rfam family: Y RNA
About the family: Y RNAs are components of the Ro ribonucleoprotein particle (Ro RNP), in association with Ro60 and La proteins. The Y RNAs and Ro60 and La proteins are well conserved, but the function of the Ro RNP is not known.
Source: Rfam by way of RNAcentral